This 450-nucleotide long non-coding RNA is filed under the name Homo sapiens (human). RNAcentral's name for it is "HSALNT0255240". Lineage: Eukaryota; Metazoa; Chordata; Mammalia; Primates; Hominidae. The record is from RNAcentral.
CACCCCUCAUCCAGGUCCCACCUCUCCAAGGUUCCACCCCUCACCCAGGUCCCACCUCUCCAAGGCUCCGCCCCUCACCCAGGUCCCACCUCUCCAAGGCUCCGCCCCUCUCCCAGGGCCCACCUCUCCAAGGCUCCAUUCCUCUCCCAGGUCCCACCUCUCCAAGGCUCUGCCCCUCACCCAGGUCCCACCUCUCCAAGGCUCCAUUCCUCUCCCAGGUCGCACCUCUCCAAGGCCCUGCCUACCUCUCCAAGGUCCCACCCACCUAUGAAUAGGCCACAUUCCUGUCCUGGGACCACCUGUCCAAGGCUCUGCCCCUCACCCAAGUCUGACCUCUCCAAGCCCCAUCCACCUAUGCACAGGCCACACCCUCAUCCUAGGACCGUUUCUCCACAAGACCCACUCCUUCCCCACCAGGUCCCACCUCUCUCCAAGGCCCCUCCACCUCUC